This is a long non-coding RNA of Oncorhynchus tshawytscha (Chinook salmon), 283 nucleotides long. NCBI's taxonomy places the organism in Eukaryota, Metazoa, Chordata, Actinopteri, Salmoniformes, Salmonidae. The record is from Ensembl.
AGAGAGAGAAGGAAAGAGAGAGAGAGAGACAGAGAAGGAAAGAGAGAGAAGGAAAGAGAGAGAGAGAAGGAAAGAGAGAGAAGGAAAGAGAGAGAAAGAGAGAGAGAGAAGGAAAGAGAGAGAAGGAAAGAGAGAGAAGGAAAGAGAGAGACAGAGAAGGAAAGAGAUAGAAGGAAAGAGAGAGAGAGAAGGAAAGAUAGAGAGAGAGAGAAGGAAAGAUAAAGAGAGAGAAGGAAAGAGAGAGAGAGAGAGAAGGAAAGAGAGAGAGAGAGAGAAGAAAAGA